Molecule: non-coding RNA, 1199 nt
Organism: Heterocephalus glaber (naked mole-rat)
Lineage: Eukaryota; Metazoa; Chordata; Mammalia; Rodentia; Bathyergidae
Source: RefSeq, a predicted model, not a curated record
AUUACAGGUGUGUGCUACCACGCCUGGCUCUCAUUUGCCUAUUGGAAGAGGGCCGUAGAGAGCCUACUUCCUUCCUGCCAAGUGUGGUGGCAUGCAGGAGGCAGGAACAGCUCAGCCUAGGCUUUGAGUCCAGGUGUGAGGACAGAACCACCUGUCUCCUGACCCCAGUGUGUGUCACCUGUGUGUGAGCAAAUGAAUGUCUGAGGCCGUCGACUAUGCCACCAAGCCCCACCCGCUCUCGCCCCAGCAAACACACGCAGGCUCCAACCCCAAAUCGAUCCUAGGUAUUGGGGGAUCCACAGACAAAAGAGCAACCACAAAGAAAAUAAAUAAUGCUCGGCACUUGCUGUAAAACCUAACUUCCCAGAAACCAUGCAGAGUUUUGCUUUAGUUUUUCCCCUCUAGACUUCUAGCCAUUGUCUCAAGAAACACUUGGGUUACAGUCAGCUAACCAAACGCCUGGCUGGACCAGCGGGCCCCACAUCCUGCCUCUUAAAAACGAAUUCCUCACCUCGAUGCCGAGGGCCUACCCCAAGAAGCAACAGGAGAAGUGGCCUGAAUGGGCUCCGCGUGGCACUUGUGCCUGGCUGUGGGAAUUAAUCUCCACAUUGAGAAGCCUCUAUUGAUCCUUCAUACCAGAAAUAUAUCCACAUUAUAAACGCAAAGAGGCGAAAUGAAGCUGUCCAGUAACUAACAAGGCCAAGCAAGGGGCUCGUGUGGAAGCGGAUAACGGGAAUGUGGUCCACGACACAGCAGCACAGCGACUGCUCAGGGGACCGACAGGAGGGACAAAGUCACCCAGCCCUGCCUGGCCUGGCUCCCUCGGCCUUGGAAGAAGGCUGGGAUGCCUGUGGUGAGUUUUCACUCACUCACAGCUGCCAAGCUCGACCCUCAGCCAGACUCUUCCUGGGGACACAGAACAAGUAAGUUGUCUUCCUCAUCCUCAAAUUCUUACCAUACCAGGACCCCCAUGGAGUGAUGUCAGGACAGGAAGCUUUGGGGACAGGCAAGAGGAACCGCCACCUAUGACUGCAUGGGGGAUUCAGGAAGAGAGGGGCAGUGAGCAGCAUGAGGGACAGCAUGAGGUUCGGGGGCCCAGAGAUGACUGUGGAGCACAUUGUACCCUCAGGACAGGCUGCUGUCCCGACUCUGAGGAGGACAGGCCCAGCUGCACAGAUGUGUGUAAAACCUAAAAAAAA